This 179-nucleotide small nuclear RNA is filed under the name Lynx canadensis (Canada lynx). RNAcentral's name for it is "U2 spliceosomal RNA (ENSLCNG00005004421.1)". It matches the Rfam family "U2 spliceosomal RNA". From Rfam's summary of the family: U2 is a small nuclear RNA (snRNA) component of the spliceosome (involved in pre-mRNA splicing). Complementary binding between U2 snRNA (in an area lying towards the 5' end but 3' to hairpin I) and the branchpoint sequence (BPS) of the intron results the bulging out of an unpaired adenosine, on the BPS, which initiates a nucleophilic attack at the intronic 5' splice site, thus starting the first of two transesterification reactions that mediate splicing. Lineage: Eukaryota; Metazoa; Chordata; Mammalia; Carnivora; Felidae. The record is from Rfam by way of RNAcentral.
AUCGCUUCUCAGCCUUUUGGCUAAGAUCAGUCGUAGCAUCUGUUCUUAUCAGUUUAACAUGUGACACGUCCUCUAUCGGAGGACAACAUAUUAAAUGGAGUUUUGGAGCCGGAACUUGCUCUGUCCACUCCGCGCAUCGACCUGGGAUUGCAGAACCUCGGGCGGACGGGGGGGGGGGG